UUUGCCGAUGUGAUUAAGAAAGCUGAGACAGAAAAUUUAUCCUGGAUUAUUUAUUUGAGUGGGUCCAAAUGCUAAACUACUAGCUUUGAAAAUAGAGGAAGAGCCCAAGAACCAAGGCAUGCAGGAGGCCUCUAGAAGCUGGUAGAAGAAAGAGGGAAGAUUUUCCCCUACAGCCUACAGAAGAAAUGCAGCCCCAUUGAUCAACAGAACUGUGAGAAAAUUAAUUUAAAUAUGUGACUGGUGGCUUCAUGAAGGAUGGAUUGGAGGAACACAAAAAUAAAAUAGAACCUGCCUCGUCCAUGUACAUCCUUCAAGCCUCUUGCUUCCCCCUUCAGCGGUGCAGAUUUCUUGUAGACCUGAUGCACUUCACCAUGGAGAGCUACAUAUGAGGCUCUCCCAGUGUUUGGAGAAGCUAAAGGAGGAGCUCUAGCAAGACCUAGAAGUGAGCCUGCAGAUCCACAAUGAUGUAUAUGUGGUGCAGCUAUGCCUGGGCCUAUACCAGGCUCCUGAGUGUACACGUGGCAGCUUCUUCUCUUACCCCUUUCUCACACAUUCCGAUUGGUCAACCCCAACCCAGAAUCCUGGAGGAAAAGGAAGUCUGGAAAAGCAGUCCCAGAGUAGUUAAGUAUACACAUUACAA
Long non-coding RNA from Prionailurus viverrinus (fishing cat), 640 nucleotides. RefSeq lists it as uncharacterized. The record is from RefSeq and is a predicted model, not a curated record. The transcript has 3 exons. NCBI's taxonomy places the organism in Eukaryota, Metazoa, Chordata, Mammalia, Carnivora, Felidae.